Long non-coding RNA from Canis lupus familiaris (dog), 854 nucleotides. RefSeq lists it as uncharacterized. The record is from RefSeq and is a predicted model, not a curated record. The transcript has 6 exons. Lineage: Eukaryota; Metazoa; Chordata; Mammalia; Carnivora; Canidae.
CCUCAGGCUGGAUGCUUCAACCAACAAUGAUCUCAUACCUGACAGAAAUGAAGACAGUAGAUUCGGAGAUAUCACCUGUGUGCAAGGGCUCCACAUGAGGCUUUGUUUCAGUUACCUGUGGUCAAUCUUGGUCUGGAAGCAGAGGAUCCUCCUUCUGACAUACAGUCAGAACAUCAUAGUCACCUAACACUACAUCACAAUGUCUACGUCAUUCACCUCACUUCACCUCAAUCACGCAGGCCUCUAUCAUCCCAUGUCAUCGCAAGAAGAAGGGCAGGUGCCUGAAGGCGGGACUUGAGUGUUACUCAUUGGUCUUCUGCAGCACAUGGAUCGGGGCCGAGCACAAAAUAGUUGCUCAAAUGUAUUCAUUGCAUCAAAAUUGCUGAAGAGUCGCAUCUUGCAGACAGCGUGAGAGGAGCUGUGGUGGAUCCGUGGCCAAGAGUCUGUUGGGAGCAAUGGACAUAAAAACCACCAACUAUGAUGUCCAGCAUAAAGGUCUUGAAAGGUCAUUUUCAGAGGGGCAGAAUGAAGUGUGCUAUGCUUACCAAAGCCUGAAGGACUGCAUGCUCUGAGGAUAGCAGUUUCAUCAAGGGAAUUCGGGAAGACUUCACGGAGGUGGCAUUUGAAUUGGGUUUUGAAGGCUUUGUCCAUAUACGUCAAGUCCAAUGAUUUUCAAAAUGUUCACGUGCAAGGCAUCAUUCAGUUGUUUAGGAAAAUCUUACCAAGAGCUUAGUGUAUGUCACAGGGCAGAAGUAAUGAUACUUACCUUCUGGAUAAAAGGAUGCUUCUCUGCAUCGCAGGAAUUCAGAGACACCUCCUCCCCACUUGGGCUUCCCAAGGGACUCUGUUACGCC